UACGAAGGGUGCAAGCGUUACUCGGAAUUACUGGGCGUAAAGCGUGCGUAGGUGGUUUGUUAAGUCUGCUGUGAAAGCCCCGGGCUCAACCUGGGAAUGGCAGUGGAUACUGGCAAGCUGGAGUGCGGUAGAGGGUAGUGGAAUUCCCGGUGUAGCGGUGAAAUGCGUAGAGAUCGGGAGGAACACCAGUGGCGAAGGCGGCUACCUGGACCAGCACUGACACUGAGGCACGAAAGCGUGGGGAGCAAACAGG
This 253-nucleotide ribosomal RNA is filed under the name uncultured bacterium. RNAcentral describes it as "partial 16S ribosomal RNA". It matches the Rfam family "Bacterial small subunit ribosomal RNA", at positions 524 to 776 of the family's 1533-position model. The record is from RNAcentral.